GAUGAACGCUAGCUACAGGCUUAACACAUGCAAGUCGAGGGGCAGCAUGGGCUUAGCUUGCUAAGCCCGAUGGCGACCGGCGCACGGGUGAGUAACACGUAUCCAACCUUCCGGUAGCUCCGGUAUAGCCUUUCGAAAGAAAGAUUAAUCCCGGAUAGUAUGGUGAUUCCGCAUGGUUUCUCCAUUAAAGGAUUCCGGUUACCGAUGGGGAUGCGUUCCAUUAGGCAGUUGGCGGGGUAACGGCCCACCAAACCUACGAUGGAUAGGGGUUCUGAGAGGAAGGUCCCCCCACAUUGGAACUGAGACACGGUCCAAGCUCCUACGGGAGGCAGCAGUGAGGAAUAUUGGUCAAUGGGCGGAAGCCUGAACCAGCCAAGUAGCGU
RNAcentral lists this ribosomal RNA (383 nucleotides) under uncultured bacterium. RNAcentral describes it as "bacterial SSU rRNA". It matches the Rfam family "Bacterial small subunit ribosomal RNA", at positions 28 to 402 of the family's 1533-position model. The record is from RNAcentral.